GAGAUCCUUAUGAUGGGAAACUAUCACGUUAGGUUUGGAGAGAGAAAUAUGGUCUGGGGAAGUAAGAGCAAGCUUGUCCAAAGAAUGGCCUUCCUGAAUGACUACGGGAUCAUCAAUCUACUCUAC
This is a non-coding RNA of Picea glauca (white spruce), 126 nucleotides long. Lineage: Eukaryota; Viridiplantae; Streptophyta; Pinopsida; Pinales; Pinaceae. The record is from Rfam.